This 414-nucleotide ribosomal RNA is filed under the name uncultured bacterium. RNAcentral describes it as "bacterial SSU rRNA". It matches the Rfam family "Bacterial small subunit ribosomal RNA", at positions 8 to 426 of the family's 1533-position model. The record is from RNAcentral.
AGAGUUUGAUCCUGGCUCAGAUUGAACGCUGGCGGCAUGCCUUACACAUGCAAGUCGAACGGCAGCGCGGGGCAACCUGGCGGCGAGUGGCGAACGGGUGAGUAAUAUAUCGGAACGUACCCUGGAGUGGGGGAUAACGUAGCGAAAGUUAUGCUAAUACCGCAUACGAUCCAAGGAUGAAAGCAGGGGACCGCAAGGCCUUGUGCUCCUGGAGCGGCCGAUAUCUGAUUAGCUAGUUGGCGGGGUAAAAGCCCACCAAGGCAACGAUCAGUAGCUGGUCUGAGAGGACGACCAGCCACACUGGAACUGAGACACGGUCCAGACUCCUACGGGAGGCAGCAGUGGGGAAUUUUGGACAAUGGGCGCAAGCCUGAUCCAGCAAUGCCGCGUGAGUGAAGAAGGCCUUCGGGUUGA